CUCAAAUUUGAAAUCUGGCCCCCAGGGUCCGAGUUGUAAUUUGCAGAGGAUGCUUUUGGCGAGGCGCCUUCCGAGUUCCCUGGAACGGGACGCCAUAGAGGGUGAGAGCCCCGUCUGGUUGGAUGCCGAGCCUCUGUAAAGCUCCUUCGACGAGUCGAGUAGUUUGGGAAUGCUGCUCUAAAUGGGAGGUAUAUGUCUUCUAAAGCUAAAUACCGGCCAGAGACCGAUAGCGCACAAGUAGAGUGAUCGAAAGAUGAAAAGCACUUUGAAAAGAGGGUUAAAUAGUACGUGAAAUUGUUGAAAGGGAAGCGCUCAUGACCAGACUUGGGCCCGGUGAAUCACCCAGCGUUCUCGCUGGCGCACUUUGCCGGGCUCAGGCCAGCAUCAGUUUGCUCCGGGGGAUAAAGGCUUUGGGAAUGUGGCUCCCUCGGGAGUGUUAUAACCCAUUGCAUAAUAUCCUGGAGCGGACUGAGGUUCGCGCAUCUGCAAGGAUGCUGGCGUAAUGGUCAUCAGCGACCCGUCUUGAAACACGGACCAAGGAGUCGUCUUCGUAUGCGAGUGUUCGGGUGUAAAACCCCUACGCGUAAUGAAAGUGAACGCAGGUGAGAGCUUCGGCGCAUCAUCGACCGAUCCUGAUGUUCUCGGAUGGAUUUGAGUAAGAGCAUACGGGGCCGGACCCGAAAGAAGGUGAACUAUGCCUGUAUAGGGUGAAGCCAGAGGAAACUCUGGUGGAGGCUCGCAGCGGUUCUGACGUGCAAAUCGAUCGUCAAAUAUGGGCAUGGGGGCGAAAGACUAAUCGAACC
This 803-nucleotide ribosomal RNA is filed under the name Metarhizium eburneum. Its description in RNAcentral is "partial 28S ribosomal RNA". It matches the Rfam family "Eukaryotic large subunit ribosomal RNA", at positions 108 to 941 of the family's 3401-position model. Lineage: Eukaryota; Fungi; Ascomycota; Sordariomycetes; Hypocreales; Clavicipitaceae. The record is from RNAcentral.